GACGAACGCUGGCGGCGUGCUUAACACAUGCAAGUCGAGCGGAAAGGCCCUUCGGGGUACUCGAGCGGCGAACGGGUGAGUAACACGUGAGCAACCUGCCCUAGGCUUUGGGAUAACCCCGGGAAACCGGGGCUAAUACCGAAUAGGACCUGACCCCGCAUGGGGUUGGGUGGAAAGUUUUUCGGCCUGGGUUGGGCUCGCGGCCUAUCAGCUUGUUGGUGGGGUGCUGGCCUACCAAGGCGACGACGGGUGGCCGGCCCGAGAGGGCGACCGGCCACACUGGGACUGAGACACGGCCCAGACUCCUACGGGAGGCAGCAGUGGGGAAUAUUGCACAAUGGGCGGAAGCCUGAUGCAGCGACGCCGCGUGAGGGAUGACGGCCUUCGGGUUGUAAACCUCUUUCAGCAGGGACGAAGCGUAAGUGACGGUACCUGCAGAAGAAGCGCCGGCCAACUACGUGCCAGCCGCCGCCGUAA
Molecule: ribosomal RNA, 477 nt
Filed under: uncultured bacterium
Lineage: Bacteria
Description: partial 16S ribosomal RNA
Rfam family: Bacterial small subunit ribosomal RNA
Source: RNAcentral